AUUCACAUCCUUACGGGAUUGCAAUGAGAACAAUUUAAAUCACUUAACGAGGAUCAAUUGGAGGGCAAGUCUGGUGCCAGCAGCCGCGGUAAUUCCAGCUCCAAUAGUGUAUAUUAAAGUUGUUGCAGUUAAAAAGCUCGUAGUUGAACUUCUGACAGUGUGCAGUUUUGGUUUCUAUCAGGCUGCAUUGCUGUCAUCCGUCUGCAAACUCUGUUCAAUCUUCGCUGGUUGGCAGGGGGAGUAGACAUUUUACUUUGAAAAAAUUAGAGUGUUUCAAGCAGGUUAUUGCCAGAAUACUUUAGCAUGGAAUAAUGGAAUAGGACUCUUGUCCAUUUGGUUGGUUAUUGGACCAGAGUAAUGAUUAACAGGGACAGUUGGGGGCAUUAGUAUUUAAUUGUCAGAGGUGAAAUUCAUGGAUUUAUUAAAGACUAACUUAUGCGAAAGCAUUUGCCAAGGAUGUUUUCAUUAAUCAAGUACGAAAGUUAGGGGAUCAAAGACGAUCAGAUACCGUCCUAGUCUUAACUAUAAACGAUGUCGACUCGGGAUUGGAAAGGUUUCCAAUUAUCCUUUCCAGCACCGUAUGAGAAAUCAUUAAGUCUUUGGAUUCUGGGGGGAGUAUGGUCGCAAGGCUGAAACUUAAAGGAAUUGACGGAAGAGCACCACCAGGCGUGGGACCUGCGGCUUAAUUUGACCCAACACGGGAAAACUUAUUUCAGCAAAACAUGAGUGGGAUUGACAGAUUGAGAGCUCUUUCUUGAUUUUAUGGGGUGUGGUGCAUGGCCGUUCUUAGUUGGUGGAGUGAUUUGUCUGGUUAAUUCCGUUAACGAACGAGACCUUAACCUGCUAACUAGUCAGUGUGUUAACCUACGCUCUGUACUUCUUAGAGGGACUAUGGGUAAUAAGCCCAUGGAAGUUUGAGGCAAUAACAGGUCUGUGAUGCCCAUAGAUGUUGAAAGCGGCACGCGCGUCAUACUGUCCAGUAACAGCAAGUUUUACCUCCUCUACCGGAAGGUUAGGGGUAAUCUAUAAAACUGGACGUGGUAGGGAUAGAUCUUUGGAAUUAUAGAUCUUGAACGAAGAAUGCCUAGUAAGUACAAGUCAUCAACUUGUGCUGAUUACGUCCCUGUCCUUUGUACACACCGCCCGUCGCUCCUACCGAUUUCGAGCGAUAUGGUGAAUCUCCUGGACCGUGGGGUCCCUCGUGGGCUUCGUGGAAAGUUUAGUAAACCUUAUCGCUUAGAGGAAGGAAAAGUCGUAACAAGGUA
This 1265-nucleotide ribosomal RNA is filed under the name metagenome. Its description in RNAcentral is "SSU rRNA". It matches the Rfam family "Eukaryotic small subunit ribosomal RNA", at positions 492 to 1801 of the family's 1831-position model. The record is from RNAcentral.